Molecule: long non-coding RNA, 1544 nt
Organism: Ictalurus punctatus (channel catfish)
Lineage: Eukaryota; Metazoa; Chordata; Actinopteri; Siluriformes; Ictaluridae
Source: Ensembl
CAAUAAUGUUCAUGUACCUUGGAUAACUGCAUGAGCCCUUAUGGCACACUACAAUUCAGUACAUUUUUGGUCAUUACCUUACACUGAAUAGAAUCAGCCAGGGUUGCAUAGUCCGGACAGUAGCUGCUGGUAGCCAGCCUCAAGUAGGCCUCCGAAUGAUGAUCAGUCAUUGUGGAACGGUAUUAGGACUUAAUAAUCUUCAUGUGGAAAAAGGCUGAAUCACAUAAAUAAGUAGAGCCAAAUAAUGCAGUCAAGGAGGUUGCACAUUUCCUCAUGUUUGGGUACUUUUCCCCUGUGAGUAAGUUCCAAAACUGUCCAUGAGCCCUGGACUUCAGCUGAAUGAUACUCUGUAGUUUCAAAAUGUCAUCCUCCACUUCAGACGAGUUCAGGUGAAACAGCGUUGCAAUUUUCGAUGCGAGUGAAUCAACCUCAACUUUGUCCCUAAAUGGGUAGCACAUGAAUGUAGCGACUGGCUCCAGUAAAGCAAAGUCUUGAAAGCGUCUGUCAAACUCUGACCGACAGCUGUCAAUCUGCUCCGUGUAGCAUGCAAUGUUCAAUUGCGCACAAGCCGCAAUUCCGCUGCGUCUUCAGAUCUGACGCGAGAUUUUGGAAGUUGCCAAAAUCAUGGCGCUGCAGCUUUGAGGACAGAAGUUGCAUUUUCCGUUUAAAGGCAUUAAAUGAGCUGAUCAUAUUGACCACGGUUUUGUCUUUUCCUUGCAGCUCCAAAUUAAACUCAUUUAAUAUGUUGUUCAGAUCGGUUAAAAAUGCCAAGUCCAGCAGCCACUGAUCAUCAUUGAGUUGGGUGCAUUCUGCAUGUUUAACAGCAAAAAGAAACUCCUUUAUCUCCGGACAGAGCUCUCGAAAUCUCUACAGGAAUUUACCCCUACUAAGCCAUCCAACGUCAGUGUGGAGUAGGAGCUCAGAGUGGUCUCAGUCUGCCUUCUCCAGAUGUGCACGGAACAGCCCUCUUUGACGUGAUCUAGCACGUAUAGAACAGGCGAUCUUUGUUGCCACAUCCAUGAUCUCUUUCAUGCUUAGCAUUUUUGCGCAUAAGGCUUGUUGGUGUAUUAUGCAAUGGUAGUUAAGGAAGUCAGGGAAACCAUCGUCUUCCCUGCACUUGGCAAUGAAUCCAUUUGCGCUGCCAACCAUUGUGGGCGCACCGUCCGUGGUGACUGAUACCAAUUUGUACACUGGGAGCUGGGUUUUGUCAAUGAAGUCUUUAAAAAACUGAAAAAUGUCCUCUCCCCACGAUUUCGCUCGCUAGCCUUUAGCGCUGGCGUGUUUGAUCGCACGCUUGUUGAGAGAAUAGACGAGAUCUCAGACUGGCUGCCCUGUACGUCAACGCUAACAUCUAUUUUUUAUUUUUGAAUGGCGAUCUACCCGCACUUCCUUUGCGAUCGACCGGUUGGGCACCCCUGGUGUAGUGCAAUACACGCUCUCUACAAAGAGUGUAGCCCCUACAUAGUGCACCGUACGCUCACUACACAGAGUUGAGCCGCUACAUAGUGCACCGUACGCUCACUACACGGAGUGUAGCCGCUACA